Molecule: transfer RNA, 73 nt
Filed under: Chthoniobacterales bacterium
Lineage: Bacteria; Pseudomonadati; Verrucomicrobiota; Spartobacteria; Chthoniobacterales
Description: tRNA-Gly
Rfam family: tRNA
About the family: Transfer RNA (tRNA) molecules are approximately 80 nucleotides in length.
Source: RNAcentral
GCGGGUGUAGCUCAGUUGGUAGAGCACUUCGUUGCCAACGAAGAUGUCGAGGGUUCGAGUCCCUUCACCCGCU